GUAUGGGACUUGCUCGGGAAGAAGGUCUCCAAAGAAGUGUGUUUUUGGUUGUAAGGGAAAGAUAACUUGUUCAGCUUCCUAAGGAACCCAGCGUUAUGUAAACGGCAGAUACAGUUGUUUUCCGGGGCAGCAAAGGAGUUUCACAAGUUUUGUUGUUGACGAAUGUUUUAUAAACAAGGCCCAGUUCGAUGCUGGAUUUGCACAUCGUUUGAUUCUGAAGAUGGAGCGGUCCCAGCUAUAAAAGAUCCUGGUCGUGAUUCAGAACUGCAGACGAGAAAUUGGACUGCACCUCCCUUUCCUGCCAGUUUGGUUGCCGUAUUGAAAGAGAUGGUGAAAUGGGCUUUUUGUGUCCUCCAGGGCUCCACUUGGCUUCAGAUAACAGAACCUGCAAAGAAUGUACAGGGGUGAAGAAUGAGGUCAGGAGAAGAGUUAAAAACCUUCAUGAAACCAUUUUUAUCUGGAAUUCCCAAAGACUCUUCAAAAACCGGGCCAGAAAACUUUCAUGAAUGCUGCAUAAAAGCUGCAUCUACAGGAGUAUUUACACCUAGUCACUUCAUGUGUUUUUACUAAAUAGAUUGCUAUUUGAUCAUGAAAACACAAGUGUAAAUGC
This is a long non-coding RNA of Cyprinus carpio carpio, 610 nucleotides long. Lineage: Eukaryota; Metazoa; Chordata; Actinopteri; Cypriniformes; Cyprinidae. The record is from Ensembl.